Molecule: ribosomal RNA, 926 nt
Filed under: uncultured archaeon
Lineage: Archaea
Description: bacterial SSU rRNA
Rfam family: Archaeal small subunit ribosomal RNA
Source: RNAcentral
AAGUGUCUCCUGCUAAGGAGUCUUUUGUCAUUUGUAGAAUCACUGGUGAAUAAGGGGUGGGCAAGUUCUGGUGUCAGCCGCCGCGGUAAAACCAGCACCUCGAGUGGUCAGGAGGUUUAUUGGGCCUAAAGCAUCCGUAGCCGGUUGCAUAAGUUUUCGGUUAAAUCUAUGCGCUUAACGUAUAGGCCGCCGAAAAUACUGUGCAGCUAGGGAGUGGGAGAGGUACACGGUACUCGAUAGGAAGGGGUAAAAUCCUUUGAUCUAUUGAUGACCACCUGUGGCGAAGGCGGUGUACCAGAACACGUUCGACGGUGAGGGAUGAAAGCUGGGGGAGCAAACCGGAUUAGAUACCCGGGUAGUCCCAGCUGUAAACGAUGCAGACUCGGUGAUGCAUUGGCUUGUGGCCAAUGCAGUGCCGCAGGGAAGCCGUUAAGUCUGCCGCCUGGGAAGUACGUACGCAAGUAUGAAACUUAAAGGAAUUGGCGGGGGAGCACCACAAGGGGUGAAGCCUGCGGUUCAAUUGGAGUCAACGCCAGAAAUCUUACCUGGGGAGACAGCAGAAUGAAGGUCAAGCUGAAGACUUUACCGGACACGCUGAGAGGUGGUGCAUGGCCGUCGCCAGCUCGUGCCGUGAGAUGUCCUGUUAAGUCAGGUAACGAGCGAGACCCCUGCGUCUAGUUGCUACCAUUACUCUCUGGAGCAGUGGAGCGAAUUAGACGGACCGCCACAGUUAAUGUGGAGGAAGGAAGGGGCCACGGCAGGUCAGUAUGCCCCGAAACCCUAGGGCUACACGCGGGCUGCAAUGGUAUUGACCAUGUGUUCCGAAUCCGAAAGGAGGAGGCAAUCAUCAACAAUAUCUCAGUUAUGACUGAGGGCUAACUCGCCGUCACGAAUAUGAAUCCCUAUAACCGCGGGGCUACGCGCGU